AGUGAACGCUGGCGGUAGGCCUAACACAUGCAAGUCGAACGGCAGCACAGUAAGAGCUUGCUCUUACGGGUGGCGAGUGGCGGACGGGUGAGGAAUACAUCGGAAUCUACUCUUUCGUGGGGGAUAACGCAGGGAAACUUACGCUAAUACCGCAUACGACCUACGGGUGAAAGCAGGGGAUCUUCGGACCUUGCGCGAUUGAAUGAGCCGAUGUCGGAUUAGCUAGUUGGCGGGGUAAAGGCCCACCAAGGCGACGAUCCGUAGCUGGUCUGAGAGGAUGAUCAGCCACACUGGAACUGAGACACGGUCCAGACUCCUACGGGAGGCAGCAGUGGGGAAUAUUGGACAAUGGGCGCGAGCCUGAUCCAGCCAUACCGCGUGGGUGAAGAAGGCCUUCGGGUUGUAGAGCCCUUUUGUUGGGAAAGAAAAGCAGCAGGUUAAUACCCCGCUGUUCUGACGGUACCCAAAGAAUAAGCACCGGCUAACUUCGUG
RNAcentral lists this ribosomal RNA (492 nucleotides) under uncultured bacterium. RNAcentral's name for it is "partial 16S ribosomal RNA". It matches the Rfam family "Bacterial small subunit ribosomal RNA", at positions 29 to 507 of the family's 1533-position model. The record is from RNAcentral.